This is a microRNA precursor of Alligator mississippiensis (American alligator), 71 nucleotides long. It matches the Rfam family "mir-451 microRNA precursor family". Lineage: Eukaryota; Metazoa; Chordata; Crocodylia; Alligatoridae. The record is from Rfam.
CCCGGGGCGUCGGGGAAACCGUUACCAUUACUGAGUUUAGUAAUGGUGACGGUUCUACCGCCGCCUCGCCU